GCAAUUUAAUUUUUUAUUAUAUUUAACAGACAAAUAAAUUGAAUGUAUCUACGUAAUAAUUAUCUUUUAAAGUGUUGAUUGUUUUGGGCAUUAUAUUAACCUCUAUAUAUUUAUGUUACAGAUUAACGUUUCAACUCUGUGUUUUAACUAUUGCGUAUUAGUGUUGUAUCAUCGUACAGCUAACUAACCAUCCACAGUUCUGAGAGGAGGAGGAGGUCUAGUAGAAACAUCGGGCAUCAGUGGAGCAACUUAGCGGUAAGCAUUAUUAUUUAUUUUUGUAAAAUUAAUAUUUUCUUUGUAUUUAUUAGUUUUAUUUCGAUGAUUUAAAAAUAUCAAUUAAAGAAUUAAAAUUCAAUUUAAAAUAUUAUAAAAUUUUGUUUUUAUAAAGAUUUUAAAAAUUGCAUAAUUAUUUUAAUGAAUAUUUAAUUAAAAAACAAUUAAAAAAUUUGGAUAUAGUUUGUAUAUAGUUAAAGUUAAGAAUUAUUAAUUCUUUUGAGCGCUACUUUUAUUUUAAAAUUAUGUUUCCUUUGUUGCAGAAUCAUCGUAGCGACGUUGCUGAUAACUCCACUGCUGUCCAUCGAUCGGUGAGAGAUAAACAUUUGUAUUAGUAAUUAAUAAUUGUAUUACUAAUUAAUAAUUGUAUUACUCAUUGCAUCACUAAAAUAUCAAGCGACGCGGUAGCGGCGCGACGCCAAGUACGUACAUAAAGAAUUUUGCUGCAUAAUGCAAAUGACGCAAACUUCACUGCGCAAAUGUCACGCCGCUAUUAAGCUUUAUCUGGAAUUUAGCUGUCAAAUUCACUUUCAGUUAAAAUAUCUCAGAAACUAAAAUCAUAAUCAAAAAUCUAAUGGUAAUUUUGUUAUAUAAUAUUGAUGUAAGCUUUCGAUUGCGACCACUCAGAUUAAAAUUGGUACACUCAUUUCUGGGAUCUCGUAAUCUUUUGUACGAAAAAGCUCACUUGGAUUAUUUUCCACAGAUCACAUGUAAGCACACACACACGUAAAGCCAGUUUGUCGUUCAAGGGGCUUUACAAUGUUCCUACAUACAAUUUUAUAAAAUUAAAAUAAAAUUAUUUUGUAAUGUAAGUGGUGAAUAUUGGUACGCGAAAAAAUAUAAUAAACUUGAUAAUUCUGUGAUCUUAAGAUUUCUUGCGCGAAAAAGCUUAUUUGAGUUAUUUUCUACAGAUUCACAUGUAUAUGCACACACACACACACGCAAAGCCGGUUUGUCGUUCAAGGAGCUUCACAAUGUGCCUACAUAUAAUGUUAUAAAACUAAAACAUAUAAAAAAUUAUUUUAUAAUAUAAAUAGUGAAUUUGGUAUGCGAGAAAAGUAUAAUAAGUUAACAAAAUUAAAAUAAAUAUAUAACAUAAAUACAUGAUAUAUGUGUAAAUGUCAAAAAUAUUAAUAUAAAAAUUAAUAAUAAAAUUACAACAAACGUCUGAAUGUGAGUAAUGUAAGUGAUAUUAUUAGUACACGAAAAAA
Monomorium pharaonis (pharaoh ant) is the source of this 1484-nucleotide long non-coding RNA. RefSeq lists it as uncharacterized. The record is from RefSeq and is a predicted model, not a curated record. The transcript has 2 exons. Lineage: Eukaryota; Metazoa; Arthropoda; Insecta; Hymenoptera; Formicidae.